CCUACGGGUGGCAGCAGUCGAGAAUCAUUCACAAUGGGGGAAACCCUGAUGGUGCGACGCCGCGUGGGGGAAUGAAGGUCUUCGGAUUGUAAACUCCUGUUAUGUGGGAGUAAAUCAAAAAGAUAGUACCACAAGAGGAAGAGACGGCUAACUCUGUGCCAGCAGCCGCGGUACUACAGAGGUCUCAAGCGUUGUUCGGCAUCACUGGGCGUAAAGCGUGCGUAGGCUGUUUCGUAAGUCGUGUGUGAAAGGUGCGGGCUCAACCCGCGAACGGCACAUGAAACUGGGAGACUAGGGUACUGUAGGGGGAGGCGGAAUUCUCGGUGUAGCAGUGAAAUGCGUAGAUAUCGAGAGGAACACUCGUGGCGAAGGCAGGUUCCUGGACAUUAACUGACGCUGAGGCACGAAGGCCAGGGGAGCGAAAGGGAUUAGAUACCCGGGUAGUC
Molecule: ribosomal RNA, 446 nt
Filed under: uncultured bacterium
Lineage: Bacteria
Description: partial 16S ribosomal RNA
Rfam family: Bacterial small subunit ribosomal RNA
Source: RNAcentral